Molecule: ribosomal RNA, 466 nt
Filed under: uncultured bacterium
Lineage: Bacteria
Description: partial 16S ribosomal RNA
Rfam family: Bacterial small subunit ribosomal RNA
Source: RNAcentral
GAUGAACGCUGGCGGCGUGCUUAACACAUGCAAGUCGAACGAUGAAGCCCAGCUUGCUGGGUGGAUUAGUGGCGAACGGGUGAGUAACACGUGAGUAACCUGCCCUUGACUCUGGGAUAAGCGCUGGAAACGGCGUCUAAUACCGGAUACGAGCUUCCACCGCAUGGUGAGUUGCUGGAAAGAGUUUCGGUCAAGGAUGGACUCGCGGCCUAUCAGGUAGUUGGUGAGGUAACGGCUCACCAAGCCGACGACGGGUAGCCGGCCUGAGAGGGUGACCGGCCACACUGGGACUGAGACACGGCCCAGACUCCUACGGGAGGCAGCAGUGGGGAAUAUUGCACAAUGGGCGCAAGCCUGAUGCAGCAACGCCGCGUGAGGGACGAAGGCCUUCGGGUCGUAAACCUCUUUUAGCAGGGAAGAAGCGAAAGUGACGGUACCUGCAGAAAAAGCACCGGCUAACUACGUG